RNAcentral lists this ribosomal RNA (475 nucleotides) under uncultured bacterium. RNAcentral's name for it is "bacterial SSU rRNA". It matches the Rfam family "Bacterial small subunit ribosomal RNA", at positions 27 to 518 of the family's 1533-position model. The record is from RNAcentral.
GGACGAACGCUGGCGGCGUGCUUAACACAUGCAAGUCGAGCGAUGAAGCUUCUCCGGAAGUGGAUUAGCGGCGGACGGGUGAGUAACACGUGGGUAACCUGCCUUGUAGAGAGGAAUAGCCAUUCGAAAGGAUGAUUAAUACCGCAUAAUAUUGUAGCUUCGCAUGGAGCAACAAUCAAAGGAGCAAUCCGCUACAAGAUGGACCCGCGGCGCAUUAGCUAGUUGGUGAGGUAACGGCUCACCAAGGCGACGAUGCGUAGCCGACCUGAGAGGGUGAUCGGCCACAUUGGGACUGAGACACGGCCCAGACUCCUACGGGAGGCAGCAGUGGGGAAUAUUGCACAAUGGGGGAAACCCUGAUGCAAGCAACGCCGCGUGAGUGAUGACGGUCUUCGGAUUGUAAAGCUCUGUCUUCAGGGACGAUAAUGACGGUACCUGAGGAGGAAGCCACGGCUAACUACGUGCCAGCCGCCGC